This 74-nucleotide transfer RNA is filed under the name Cordylochernes scorpioides. Its description in RNAcentral is "tRNA-Thr". Lineage: Eukaryota; Metazoa; Arthropoda; Arachnida; Pseudoscorpiones; Chernetidae. The record is from RNAcentral.
UGUCCAGGGAUGGGAUUCGAACCCACAGUGUUCCGCUUACCGGGCAGAUGCCAUGUCCACUAGGCUACCCUGGC